Molecule: ribosomal RNA, 958 nt
Filed under: Conlarium thailandense
Lineage: Eukaryota; Fungi; Ascomycota; Sordariomycetes; Conlariaceae
Description: SSU rRNA
Rfam family: Eukaryotic small subunit ribosomal RNA
Source: RNAcentral
GGCUCAUUAAAUCAGUUAUCGUUUAUUUGAUAGUACCUUACUACUUGGAUAACCGUGGUAAUUCUAGAGCUAAUACAUGCUAAAAAUCCCGACUUCGGAAGGGAUGUAUUUAUUAGAUUAAAAACCAAUGCCCUUUGGGCUCACUGGUGAUUCAUGAUAACUUCUCGAAUCGCAUGGCCUUGCGCCGGCGAUGGUUCAUUCAAAUUUCUGCCCUAUCAACUUUCGACGGCUGGGUCUUGGCCAGCCAUGGUGACAACGGGUAACGGAGGGUUAGGGCUCGACCCCGGAGAAGGAGCCUGAGAAACGGCUACUACAUCCAAGGAAGGCAGCAGGCGCGCAAAUUACCCAAUCCCGACACGGGGAGGUAGUGACAAUACAUACUGAUACAGGGCUCUUUUGGGUCUUGUAAUUGGAAUGAGUACAAUUUAAAUCCCUUAACGAGGAACAAUUGGAGGGCAAGUCUGGUGCCAGCAGCCGCGGUAAUUCCAGCUCCAAUAGCGUAUAUUAAAGUUGUUGCGGUUAAAAAGCUCGUAGUUGAACCUUGGGCCUGGCUGGCCGGUCCGCCUCACCGCGUGCACUGGUACGGUCGGGCCUUUCCCUCUGGGGAACCGCAUGCCCUUCACUGGGUGUGUCGGGGAACCAGGACUUUUACUUUGAAAAAAUUAGAGUGUUCAAAGCAGGCUUAUGCUCGGAUACAUUAGCAUGGAAUAAUAGAAUAGGACGUGCGGUUCUAUUUUGUUGGUUUCUAGGACCGCCGUAAUGAUUAAUAGGGACAGUCGGGGGCAUCAGUAUUCAAUUGUCAGAGGUGAAAUUCUUGGAUUUAUUGAAGACUAACUACUGCGAAAGCAUUUGCCAAGGAUGUUUUCAUUAAUCAGGAACGAAAGUUAGGGGAUCGAAGACGAUCAGAUACCGUCGUAGUCUUAACCAUAAACUAUGCGAACUAGGGAUCGGACGAUGU